GAUACCAGGGGCAAAAGGUCUUUACACAAUUGAGCUUGCUCAUGUGUGGGUAAAGGACCUUUUGAACCGCCAGAAUAUGGGCAUAAAAGUGGGACAACAGUCCCGCUAUAUGCGAAUGUUUUGUAGAAUUGUGAUUGUUCGAAGUACGAACAAUCCGUAGGUAUC
RNAcentral lists this small RNA (165 nucleotides) under uncultured Acetatifactor sp. Its description in RNAcentral is "Clostridiales-1 RNA". It matches the Rfam family "Clostridiales-1 RNA". Lineage: Bacteria; Bacillati; Bacillota; Clostridia; Lachnospirales; Lachnospiraceae. The record is from RNAcentral.